AGGUUAUUUCAAAGAGGGUCUGUGGGUUUGUGAAACCGGGAGCUCUUAAUGCUAUGACCAAAGAUUAAAAUUCUCCAUAGGAUGUCAUAGGCACUCAAUAGUGCUGCUUUCCUGAAGAGAUGAAACA
Molecule: small nucleolar RNA, 127 nt
Organism: Balaenoptera musculus (blue whale)
Lineage: Eukaryota; Metazoa; Chordata; Mammalia; Artiodactyla; Balaenopteridae
Source: Ensembl